AGGGUUCGAUUCUGGCUCAGGAUGAACGCUAGCGACAGGCUAACACAUGCAAGUCGAGGGGCAGCACGGAGUAGCAAUACAACUGGUGGCGACCGGCGCACGGGUGAGUAACGCGUAUGCAACCUACCUAUCAGAGGGGAAUAACCCGGCGAAAGUCGGACUAAUACCGCAUAAAACAGGGGCACCGCAUGGUGAUAUUUGUUAAAGAAAUUCGCUGAUAGAUGGGCAUGCGUUCCAUUAGGUAGUUGGUGAGGUAACGGCUCACCAAGCCGACGAUGGAUAGGGGAACUGAGAGGUUGGUCCCCCACACUGGUACUGAGACACGGACCAGACUCCUACGGGAGGCAGCAGUGAGGAAUAUUGGUCAAUGGGCGGGAGCCUGAACCAGCCAAGUCCGCGUGAAGGAAGAAGGAUCUAUGGUUCGUAAACUUCUUUUGCAGGGGAAUAAAGUGCAGGACGUGUCCUGUUUUGUAUGUACCCUGAGAAUAAGGAUCGGCUAACUCCGUGCCAGCCGCCGC
RNAcentral lists this ribosomal RNA (518 nucleotides) under uncultured bacterium. RNAcentral's name for it is "bacterial SSU rRNA". It matches the Rfam family "Bacterial small subunit ribosomal RNA", at positions 8 to 518 of the family's 1533-position model. The record is from RNAcentral.